AACGCAGCGAAGGGCGAUAAGUAAUGUGAAUUGCAGAUACAGUGAAUCAUCGAAUCUUUGAACGCAAAUGGCACUCUAUGGUAUUCCGUAGAGUACGUCUGUUUGAGCGUCGCGAACAUCUCCAUAAUUAGUUUUUCUAAUUAAGGGUUUUGAGGUUGUCAUUGUAUAGUGACUCCCUUUAAAAUAAUUAGUGAUGACCUUAUGAAUGGGUUAAUACUGUGUGUUAUAAUGGAUUACAUCCAUCACCAGUCAGAGAGUAAUCUCGCCUUAGUAAUUUGUAGUGAUUGCUUCUAAUCGCCUUUAUUGGCAAAUUAAAUGAUCAAAUCGACCUCGGAUCAGGUAGGGAUACCCGCUGAACUUAA
RNAcentral lists this ribosomal RNA (362 nucleotides) under uncultured fungus. RNAcentral describes it as "eukaryotic LSU rRNA". The stretch from base 1 to 112 matches the Rfam family "5.8S ribosomal RNA", at positions 42 to 154 of the family's 154-position model. The record is from RNAcentral. Lineage: Eukaryota; Fungi.